Molecule: ribosomal RNA, 618 nt
Filed under: uncultured archaeon
Lineage: Archaea
Description: bacterial SSU rRNA
Rfam family: Archaeal small subunit ribosomal RNA
Source: RNAcentral
CCAUAGGUCACGAGAUCUGGAAAGACUUGUGGCUCAAAAUUCAGGCGCUUUAGGAUUGGUCUGCGGCCUAUCAGUUAAUAGUGGAUGUAACUGACCCACUAGCCGAUGACGGGUAUGGGCCUUGAGAGAGGGAGCCCAGAGAUGGAUUCUGAGACACGAAUCCAGGCCCUACGGGGCGCAGCAGUCGCGAAAACUUCACAAUGGAGGCAACUCCGAUGAGGGAAUUCCUAGUGCCAAUGCAUUUUGUGUUGGCUUUUCUUCAGCGUAGAUAACUGAUGGAAUAAGGGCUGGGUAAGACGGGUGCCAGCCGCCGCGGUAAUACCCGCAGCCCAAGUGGUGGUCGAUAUUAUUGAGUCUAAAACGUUCGUAGCCGGUUCAAUAAAUCUCUGGGUAAAUCGGAGGGCUCAACCUUCCGAAUUCCGGAGCGACUGUUGAACUUGGGACCGGGAGAGGCAAGAGGUACUUCUGGGGUAGGGGUAAAAUCCUGUAAUCCUAGAAGGACCACCGGUGGCGAAGGCGUCUUGCUAGAACGGAUCCGACGGUGAGGGACGAAGGCCUGGGUCGCAAACGGGAUUAGAUACCCCGGUAGUCCAGGGUGUAACGCUGCAGACUUGGUGU